ACAUGCAAGUCGAGCGGAAACGAGUUAUCUGAACCUUCGGGGAACGAUAACGGCGUCGAGCGGCGGACGGGUGAGUAAUGCCUAGGAAAUUGCCCUGAUGUGGGGGAUAACCAUUGGAAACGAUGGCUAAUACCGCAUGAUGCCUACGGGCCAAAGAGGGGGACCUUCGGGCCUCUCGCGUCAGGAUAUGCCUAGGUGGGAUUAGCUAGUUGGUGAGGUAAGGGCUCACCAAGGCGACGAUCCCUAGCUGGUCUGAGAGGAUGAUCAGCCACACUGGAACUGAGACACGGUCCAGACUCCUACGGGAGGCAGCAGUGGGGAAUAUUGCACAAUGGGCGCAAGCCUGAUGCAGCCAUGCCGCGUGUAUGAAGAAGGCCUUCGGGUUGUAAAGUACUUUCAGUCGUGAGGAAGGCGGCGUCGUUAAUAGCGGCGUUGUUUGACGUUAGCGACAGAAGAAGCACCGG
Molecule: ribosomal RNA, 464 nt
Filed under: uncultured Vibrio sp.
Lineage: Bacteria; Pseudomonadati; Pseudomonadota; Gammaproteobacteria; Vibrionales; Vibrionaceae
Description: bacterial SSU rRNA
Rfam family: Bacterial small subunit ribosomal RNA
Source: RNAcentral